AGCCGACCUGAGAGGGUGAUCGGCCACACUGGGACUGAAACACGGCCCAGACUCCUACGGGAGGCAGCAGUAGGGAAUCUUCCACAAUGGACGAAAGUCUGAUGGAGCAACGCCGCGUGAGCGAUGAAGGCCUUCGGGUCGUAAAGCUCUGUUGUUAGGGAAAAACAAGUGCGAGAGUAACUGCUCGCACCUUGACGGUACCUAACCAGAAAGCCACGGCUAACUACGUGCCAGCAGCCGCGGGAAUACGUAGGUGGCAAGCGUUGUCCGGAAUUAUUGGGCGGAAAGCGCGCGCAGGCGGUUUCUUAAGUCUGAUGUGAAAGCCCACGGCUCAACCGNGGAGGGUCAUUGGAAACUGGGAGACUUGAGUGCAGAAGAGGAGAGUGGAAUUCCACGUGUAGCGGUGAAAUGCGUAGAGAUGUGGAGGAACACCAGUGGCGAAGGCGACUCUCUGGUCUGUAACUGACGCUGAGGCGCGAAAGCGUGGAGGAGCAAACAGGAUUA
This 504-nucleotide ribosomal RNA is filed under the name Bacillus sp. PASCW11. RNAcentral describes it as "bacterial SSU rRNA". It matches the Rfam family "Bacterial small subunit ribosomal RNA", at positions 285 to 780 of the family's 1533-position model. Lineage: Bacteria; Bacillati; Bacillota; Bacilli; Caryophanales; Bacillaceae. The record is from RNAcentral.